CAUGGCUCAGGAUGAACGCUGGCGGCAUGCCUAAUACAUGCAAGUCGAACGAGAGGAAGGAAAGCUUGCUUUUCUGAAUCUAGUGGCGAACGGGUGAGUAACACGUAGGUAACCUGCCCAUGUGCCCGGGAUAACUUCUGGAAACGGAUGCUAAAACCGGAUAGGUAGCAGACAAGCAUUUGACUGCUAUUAAAGUGGCCUUGGCCAUGAACAUGGAUGGACCCGUCGGU
Molecule: ribosomal RNA, 230 nt
Filed under: uncultured bacterium
Lineage: Bacteria
Description: partial 16S ribosomal RNA
Rfam family: Bacterial small subunit ribosomal RNA
Source: RNAcentral